UGUUAAAUAAUAUAAAUUAUUAUAUAUGACUGUUACUCAUAAAAUUUCAUUAAUCGAAUUUAACAU
Molecule: transfer RNA, 66 nt
Filed under: Brachionus manjavacas
Lineage: Eukaryota; Metazoa; Rotifera; Eurotatoria; Ploima; Brachionidae
Description: tRNA-Asn
Source: RNAcentral